Molecule: ribosomal RNA, 459 nt
Filed under: uncultured bacterium
Lineage: Bacteria
Description: partial 16S ribosomal RNA
Rfam family: Bacterial small subunit ribosomal RNA
Source: RNAcentral
CCUACGGGAGGCAGCAGUGAGGAAUAUUGGUCAAUGGCCGGAAGGCUGAACCAGCCAAGCCGCGUGAAGGACGAAGGUGCCAAGCAUUGUAAACUUCUUUUGUCAAGGGACAAAAUCAGGCUCGAGAGCCUGACCGAGGGUACUUUAAGAAAAAGCAUCGGCUAACUCCGUGCCAGCAGCCGCGGUAAUACGGAGGAUUCGAGCGUUAUCCGGAUUUAUUGGGUUUAAAGGGUGCGUAGGCGGGCUGUUAAGGCGGCGGUAAAAGCCCGGGGCUCAACCCCGGCGAGCCGUUGAAACUGGCGGUCUUGAGAGGUCGAGAGGCAGGCGGAAGGCGCAGUGUAGCGGUGAAAUGCUUAGAUAUUGCGCAGAACUCCGAUUGCGAAGGCAGCAUACCGGAGGCGAUCUGACGCUGAGGCACGAAAGCGUGGUUAUCGAACAGGAUUAGAUACCCUUGUAGUC